Molecule: ribosomal RNA, 253 nt
Filed under: uncultured bacterium
Lineage: Bacteria
Description: partial 16S ribosomal RNA
Rfam family: Bacterial small subunit ribosomal RNA
Source: RNAcentral
UACAGAGGGUGCGAGCGUUAAUCGGAAUUACUGGGCGUAAAGGGCGCGUAGGCGGUUAUAUGUGUGGGAUGUGAAAGCCCUGGGCUUAACCUGGGAAGUGCAUACCAAACUGUAUAACUGGAGUAUAUGAGAGGGUAGCGGAAUUUCCGGUGUAGCGGUGAAAUGCGUAGAGAUCGGAAGGAACGCCGAUGGCGAAGGCAGCUACCUGGCAUAAUACUGACGCUGAGGCGCGAAAGCGUGGGGAGCAAACCGG